GUUGGAGGGUUUCCGCCCUUCAGUGCUGCAGCUAACGCAUUAAGCACUCCGCCUGGGGAGUACGACCGCAAGGUUGAAACUCAAAGGAAUUGACGGGGGCCCGCACAAGCGGUGGAGCAUGUGGUUUAAUUCGAUGCUACGCGAAGAACCUUACCAGGUCUUGACAUCUUCUGCCAACCUAAGAGAUUAGGCGUUCCCUUCGGGGACAGAAUGACAGGUGGUGCAUGGUUGUCGUCAGCUCGUGUCGUGAGAUGUUGGGUUAAGUCCCGCAACGAGCGCAACCCUUAUUGUUAGUUGCCAGCAUUCAGUUGGGCACUCUAGCAAGACUGCCGGUGACAAACCGGAGGAAGGUGGGGAUGACGUCAAAUCAUCAUGCCCCUUAUGACCUGGGCUACACACGUGCUACAAUGGACGGUACAACGAGUCGCGAAACCGCGAGGUCAAGCUAAUCUCUUAAAGCCGUUCUCAGUUCGGAUUGUAGGCUGCAACUCGCCUACAUGAAGUUGGAAUCGCUAGUAAUCGUGGAUCAGCAUGCCACGGUGAAUACGUUCCCGGGCCUUGUACACACCGCCCGUCACACCAUGAGAGUUUGUAACACCC
Molecule: ribosomal RNA, 600 nt
Filed under: Lentilactobacillus buchneri
Lineage: Bacteria; Bacillati; Bacillota; Bacilli; Lactobacillales; Lactobacillaceae
Description: bacterial SSU rRNA
Rfam family: Bacterial small subunit ribosomal RNA
Source: RNAcentral